CGGAUUACCAGGUCUCCCGAAGCAGGGUCCAGGAGGUCUAAUACCUGGGUCUCACCUUACCUCCCUGCUACAGCAGAGCUUCAUGUUCUAGAACCAGGUCUUACUUUGACCCUUUGUUGCUCCUCUCCCAACCAGCACGGGGCCUCACCUUCUCCUGGUAGAUCUCUAGCUCCUGUGGGUCCAUAGGCAAGCACACUGGCAUUCUGCCCUUCCAGCAAGUGCCUUAGGAUGGGCUGCACUGAACCUGCAUAGAUGUCCUGCUGAGUACUCCUCUCCCCAUAGAAGGCAUCAAACCUGCGAAUUGGCAACUGAAUUAUUUUUAUCAUCAGAAAACACAAUGAAGAUAAAA
Molecule: long non-coding RNA, 349 nt
Filed under: Homo sapiens (human)
Lineage: Eukaryota; Metazoa; Chordata; Mammalia; Primates; Hominidae
Description: HSALNT0229559
Source: RNAcentral